GCAUGUUCAAUCAGUAUUUAUCUUUUCUUUCAAAACUCUUUUGACUGUCCCUGAUGGACUUUGUUUCUCAGUCCUUCUGCUAUAUUCCGUCCUUACAUGGAUUUGUAAAAACUGAAUGCCACAAGGUAAUUUUUCUUCAUAGUAAAUUACCAUAUCAGAAGACAAAGAAGUUCAUAGCCUCACCCACUCAGAGGGAUGCAUGACUCAGGCAGUGAUAACUGACGAAUCAUCCAAAAGUCACCUGGAACACUCCUUGCAUGAAGAUUAAGAGGGGGAAACCUUUUGAUAAUUGAUAGGUAGUUCUUCACUUUCUGUGUCGAUACUGAAAGUCAUCUGAUGACACUGUGACAUACAAAGAAGGGAAAGGUUCGGUGCUAAGUUUUCAGGUUUGUCACUCAACUGAGAUCACAGUCAUUACACAUCCAGGUGCUGUCAGUCUAUUACUUCUCUGAAGAAUACCAUUUUCAACAUGACCUUUUAGCUCAGACUUACUCAUAAUGAUAGCCUCCAUACUACUUGAAAAUUCACUUGGUAGGAGACAAUAUAGUUUCAUGGGUACUAUCAAGACAACUGAUUAUUAUACCAGACACAGGCUCAGAAUCUACCAGCUACUUUCAUGGUGUAGCAUGAUGACAAGCUUUUGUCCUAACCACAGAUAUUCAAAAGGCUGUAAGAACACCUUGGACCCUGAGGCAAAGUUAAAGGCACAAGCUGGAGCCAGAAUACUCUGUACCAACCCUGCUGAAAAGCUAUGGCAUGUUAACCAAGUUGCUUCAGUGCCAAAAAAAAAAAAAUAGUUGAUGAGAAUCUACUCAACCUCUUCCAUAUUCUCUGAAUCAAGCAAAUAGCACAGUCCAGGCGUAGCCCUUAAAAAAAAAUUCUUAAGAUGGUUGGAAAGGAAGUUGGAAUGGGCAUGAUAGCUAACAACUUUCAUCAAAGAACAUCUCCAGCUUGUCAUCUUUUCAGCUUCUGUUAUGAUGUUAUGAACUCAUCUACCUCCAUCCAUGUCUUUGAUUUUUUUCAAUGAAAUUGAAGACCAUCACUAAAACAAAAUUAUAUUUGCAAUUGCAAUACCUGAUAGUUAGGCACAUUAAUCUAAUUUUCUCAC
RNAcentral lists this long non-coding RNA (1108 nucleotides) under Anas platyrhynchos platyrhynchos (common mallard). Its description in RNAcentral is "lncRNA (ENSAPLG00000023081.1)". The record is from RNAcentral. Lineage: Eukaryota; Metazoa; Chordata; Aves; Anseriformes; Anatidae.